Molecule: small nucleolar RNA, 130 nt
Filed under: Chinchilla lanigera (long-tailed chinchilla)
Lineage: Eukaryota; Metazoa; Chordata; Mammalia; Rodentia; Chinchillidae
Description: Small nucleolar RNA SNORA72 (ENSCLAG00000018930.1)
Rfam family: Small nucleolar RNA SNORA72
About the family: U72 is a member of the H/ACA class of snoRNAs.
Source: Rfam by way of RNAcentral
UUGCAAAUAUUGUCACUGUUCUGACUGUGUCAUAAUCAGGGCAGGCUAAACAUUCGCUAUAGUAAGGCCACGAAUGUCUCCAGACCUAGGUCUUUCCCUAAGUCUGGUUUUCUAAAUGCUGGUGAUAAAC